CCAUUGAAAAUGAAUCAUGAAAAUGUUGUGCUGCUCAGUUAACCGAUUGGUGGCUUUAGUCUUUCCAGCGCCACCAGAGGUCAUGGCAUUGAGUUGCAGGAAUGUGAGAAACGCGAGUGCCAGAGUUCUGACUGCCCACGUGAAGCGUGGAGCAGAUUUUAAAAGCAGCUGCUGUUUUAUGUGAUGGUUUGAUUUAUCCUGACGAGUUGCAAUAAGGAUUUUUUUUUUCUUUGCACUUAGCUUUCACCUCCCACUAAUGCAAACAAAUCGGCUCUUCCACUUUUCUCUCCGCUGUAGCCUUUUGCAGCUCUUGUGCUCAGUCCGCACGUCACUUUGCAGCUGAAUAAAAACAAACUGCAGUGACGACAAUCGGAGCCGCAUCACCCCGCUUGUUUUAACGCCACCUCCGCGUGCCCGACCUGGUGUCAUAGCUUUCCUCUGCGCACUUGGGAAUAUUAUUAAAAGUGAUCUGAAACUUGAACACUGCAUUUAAUUUCAGUAAUUUGCAUUCAUAGUUUCCACUUAAUUGUUGCACUUCUUCGAACUCUGGUGGUUUUCCAGACUUGAUCCUGACAAACGUCUUGCGUACAGCGUAACAAACGUGAAUCGCACUUACUUUGAUCGUCUUCACGCAGCAGCGGUCACGGCCCAACUUGAGUUCCAUGUCGGAGCUCAAACUGAAAAACUAGAAUAGGCGUUUGAUGUGGAACUGCUGAAUGUGACACGAAGAUUCUGACCGGGUUAAUCUCGCUCAGGACUCGGUGUCCUUCCUCACCCAACGUAACUCAUUGGAAGAUGAUCAGUACUGUUCCGGUGUUGUCGUUUUUCUGACCCAACAUGCCCGCGGAUCCUCAGCUACUUCAGAAUCUUCAGGAUUUGAGCUGGUGUGUUUUGUUUAAGGGGAGCGUGCAUUAAUAAGACGGCGGAAGGUUUUGGGUUUGAUGAUGCAAUCAGGGCUCGUUUCCCGUCAUUUGAGGAGCAGAGACGCAAACAGACGGAAAACCGGUGUGGUAAUAAAAUUUUGCCUAUUUUAGGCACUUUAGAAAAUCACUACAGUGGAAUCCACACAGUGUGACGAGCUGAUGUGAAUGUUUUUUCCUUCGGUGCAGGAAACUCAGAGAAUCGGCUGCCUUUUUUGUUGUUGUUUUUGCUGUUUUCUCACAGCGAGGUGACAGAAACUGAAGGAAUCAUCUACAUUUUGGGUAAAAUUGCAAAAAUAAAUUAAAGAAUUCAUGACUUAAAAAAAUAAAAAGCCUGUCAGUUUUACAGGUGGUUUAAAAUAUUUAGUUGGUAAUGUUUAAGUUCUGGCAGAAAUAAUCAUAUAAACUUGUGCAAUUUGAAUUCUAAGUUCUUCUAAAGAAUAAAAUAUACGUUUUUAAUGAACAAACCUGUACGGUUUACUCAGAACUUGACAGUAAGUUGAGUUUGAACUUGUUUGAAAAAUUUAUUAAAAUUGGGGGGGACAUGAUUGUGACCAUUUUUAUGAUGUCUGUAAAAUGUCACAACAGCUUUGACUCUGACGGAUUCUUUUGGAGGCACUUAGUGUUUUUCUUUUGUUGCCCUGAGCCAAUCACCGGCCUUUAUUUAAAACAAAAAAGGUAUAAAGAUGCCACGUGUCUCUGGAGCCAACACUAUUAUCAGCUUGAUACUUAUUUGUUAAAAAGUAAUAAAUGGCUAAUCUAUAUACUUAACAUUGUUGGUAUAUGUGGUUCACAUUGUAAAAGAAAUAAAAACUCUGAGUUGGAA
Thalassophryne amazonica is the source of this 1746-nucleotide long non-coding RNA. RefSeq lists it as uncharacterized. The transcript has 3 exons. The record is from RefSeq and is a predicted model, not a curated record. Lineage: Eukaryota; Metazoa; Chordata; Actinopteri; Batrachoidiformes; Batrachoididae.